Micropterus dolomieu (smallmouth bass) is the source of this 163-nucleotide long non-coding RNA. RefSeq lists it as uncharacterized. Lineage: Eukaryota; Metazoa; Chordata; Actinopteri; Centrarchiformes; Centrarchidae. The transcript is spliced from 3 exons. The record is from RefSeq and is a predicted model, not a curated record.
ACAAUGAUAAUAAAUAUCAUCAGGUUGACUCUGGUGGUUGUGAUGCUGAUUCCUCUGCUUCUGGUUUGUCUGUGGAUGAGAAAGAAGAAAACUCUGAGCUCCACCACUGAACCAAAUGAACCCAUAGAGACAUUAGAGUUGGAGUCUGAUCCUGAUUGUAGCA